GGAAUGGCUGGGUCAUAUGGUAACUCUUUUGAGGAACUGCCAGAUUAUUAUCGAAACUCACUUCUUUCUAUUCCUCUGGGCCACAUGGGAACUUCAGUCUUUAUAAUUUCAGAGAUAGUAACAUCUGAGAACGUGGCAGCAUCCUCUACUGUGUGGAGCACUGAUCACUGCACUAUUUCAGACGGACUUGUAAAUGAUUGUGAUACUGAAAAGCUACAGGAGCAGACUCUUUAUGAUCAACUCUUUAAAUUCAAAAUAUGAUUUCUAGAGCUUUUUUAUCCCUUAAUGUGACCCUCUAGAGAGGCCCUGGAGUGUUUGAAUUUAUGAAGGAUUUCUUUGAGAUUCAUUGAUCAUUCCAUUCUGUUUUCCUUGAAGCAUCAUUUUCUUGGUCCCUCGGGUGGCUUUCAUUUGGCCUUUCUUGUAUGGAACCUCUCUGCCACAGGAUUGUACUGGAAUUUUUCAAAAGCCUCAGCAUGCCAAAGUCCCAUUUCUUUUUUCAUAUGCAGAUAUUUCCUGCAUGUUGGAAACAAUUGAUUUUUUAACCAAAAUGGCUUAUUUCUAAGGUAGGUGCAAUUCCUGAACUGGAGCAGGGAGUCCAGUCCUCAUAGGUGGAGAGUGUAGUGACAAGAGGAUUUAUCCAAGUGACUUAGGGAAAACCAGUAAAAGGAAAACUGUUGUAUAUCAGUAUUCAAAACUCAGAGCCUUGAUAUUCUAAUUUGAGACAACUCAAAGACUUUAGGACUUGGGAGAAAACAAGGCCUCCUCACCGUACUCCAAAUAUCACUGUAUUCAUAACUUAUUUUAUUACAUUCUCUAAUAUUAGAUUGAUUAGCUCUAUUAUCAUUUUUUACUAUAAAAGUAAUACAUUCU
Molecule: long non-coding RNA, 870 nt
Organism: Homo sapiens (human)
Lineage: Eukaryota; Metazoa; Chordata; Mammalia; Primates; Hominidae
Source: Ensembl